RNAcentral lists this ribosomal RNA (350 nucleotides) under uncultured bacterium. Its description in RNAcentral is "bacterial SSU rRNA". It matches the Rfam family "Bacterial small subunit ribosomal RNA", at positions 1026 to 1376 of the family's 1533-position model. The record is from RNAcentral.
AACUGUGAGAAGGUGCUGCAUGGCUGUCGUCAGCUCGUGUUGUGAAAUGUUGGGUUAAGUCCCGCAACGAGCGCAACCCUUAUCCUUUGUUGCCAGCGGUUAGGCCGGGAACUCAAAGGAGACUGCCAGUGAUAAACUGGAGGAAGGUGGGGAUGACGUCAAGUCAUCAUGGCCCUUACGACCAGGGCUACACACGUGCUACAAUGGCGCAUACAAAGAGAAGCGACCUCGCGAGAGCAAGCGGACCUCAUAAAGUGCGUCGUAGUCCGGAUUGGAGUCUGCNACUCGACUCCAUGAAGUCGGAAUCGCUAGUAAUCGUGAAUCAGAAUGUCACGGUGAAUACGUUCCCG